GACGAACCGUGCGAACGUUAUUCGGAAUCACUGGGCUUAAAGCGCGUGUAGGCGGGAGGGCACGUCCGUUGCUGAAAUCCCCCGGCUCAACCGGGGAACGGGCGCGGAUACGACUCUCCUUGAGGGGCGUAGGGGGACCUGGAACUUCCGGUGGAGCGGUGAAAUGCGUUGAGAUCGGAAGGAACGCCCGUGGCGAAAGCGAGGUCCUGGACGUCUACUGACGCUGAGACGCGAAAGCUAGGGGAGCGAACGGG
This 254-nucleotide ribosomal RNA is filed under the name uncultured bacterium. RNAcentral describes it as "partial 16S ribosomal RNA". It matches the Rfam family "Bacterial small subunit ribosomal RNA", at positions 524 to 776 of the family's 1533-position model. The record is from RNAcentral.